Molecule: RNA transcript, 6587 nt
Organism: Juglans microcarpa x Juglans regia
Lineage: Eukaryota; Viridiplantae; Streptophyta; Magnoliopsida; Fagales; Juglandaceae
Exons: 9
Source: RefSeq, a predicted model, not a curated record
UUUUGAUACUAAAUUCAGGGUUUUGGAGACCCUCCGCUUUACAUUUCUCAAAUCCCAUCCGCUCGCACGCUCCUCAUACGCUGCUCCUCUACUCAAAAGUUUCUCUUCUUCAGUGUCUUCACAGUGGCCGCCACCGUUCCUGUCUCUGUCGCCAUCGCUAUCUCCUUCAGUGGUCUUAUUCGUUGAAGCGAACAAAGUCUAAGAAGAUGUUUCUACAGCCUGUGGUACCCUAAGCUUCGAAUAACGGCCCUCUCUGCUUCUCUUCGAGCUCUAAUAAGUUGAAGCUGUUCUUAUAGGUCAGCAUGGGAUUUGAUAAUGAGUGCAUAUUAAACAUUCAAACUUUAGCUGGAGAGUACUUCUGCCCUGUCUGUCGCUUGCUUGUUUACCCAAAUGAGGCGCUACAGUCACAAUGCACUCAUUUAUACUGCAAGCCCUGUUUGACCUACAUUGUGAGUACUACACGGGCUUGCCCUUAUGAUGGCUACUUGGUGACUGAAGCAGAUUCCAAGCUGCUUGUAGAAUCAAAUAAAACUCUUGCCGAAACCAUUGGCAAAAUAGCAGUUCAUUGUCUUUACCACAGGAGUGGAUGCACAUGGCAGGGACCUUUAUCUGAGUGCACAUCUCAUUGUACUGGAUGUGCAUUUGGCAAUUCUCCUGUUGUAUGCAACAGGUGUGGGAUCCAAAUUGUGCAUCGUCAAGUACAGGAACAUGCCCAAAAUUGUCCUGGUGUGCAGCCUCAGGUGCAGCAGGCAGAGGGUGCUCAGGAUACUUCAGCCGCUGGCGGAACUGAUACUGCCAAUCAGACUCAGGCUGGUGUAACAGCUACCCAGGCCCAGACUACUCAAACUGCAGCAACUACUGCUUCUGGACAGGAUCCUAAUCAGCAAGCUAACCUGAAUUCUCAAUCACAAGCUUUAGUUCAGUCUGCUGUGCCAACUCCAGAACAGUGGUAUCAGCAACAACAACAGUAUCAACAAUACUACCAGCAAUAUCCCGGAUAUGAUCCCUAUCAACAGCAUUAUCAGCAGUACUACCCCUAUCAACAGCCAGGAGUUCCACAAUACCAUCAGCAGCACUUGCAAGCUCAUCCACCACAAGUGGCUGGUCAGAAUCAACCUCUACUUCAGCCGCAAUCCCAACCACCACCUCAGACUCUCGUCCAGCCUCAAUCUCAACCACUACCUCAGCCCGCUGUACAGCCUCCAUCACAAACACAUGCUCAAGCUCCAGCAGUUGCUCAACUUCAAAACCAGGCACAAGUUAACCUGCAACAGCAGCAACAGACUGCAGUGCUUCCACAUUCUCAAAUUCAGCCACAGACUCAUCAGCCAGCCCCGGCCCAAGCUCAUCCCCAUCCCCAGCCAUAUCCCCAAGCUCAUCCCCAUCCCACCCAACCUCAUCCACAGCAACAUGCAAUGGUGCCUCAAUAUCAACAGACACAUCAUCAGAUGCAACAUUUACAACCCCAACCUCAUUCAGCUCAUCAUCAAGCACCAGGUCAACAACAUUCCCAGCCACAUCCCUACCUAAAUCCUAAUGUCCAGCCUCAGAUGCAGCAUCCACCAGCCCAUGAUGUCACGAGCCAUCAAUCAUAUCCUCAGCCUCACCAACAAAUGCAUCUAGUAGCCCCACAACAGCAUACAAUGCACAUGAACCCUCAAGGUGGGCCUCAUCCACAGCAGCAACAUUCUGGUCAAGCUCCAAGUCAAUUCCCUCAACAACAUCCUCCUAUGCGUCCACCCCCUUCUACUGCUUCAAUUCCAAAUCAGCAACAGGCUGCUUUGUUGCCAUUGCCAGGUCAAGUCCAGAACAUCCAUCCUGCACAACAGCAGCCAGUUCAACAAUCUGGACACCCAAUCCACCAGCGCCCUCCUAUACAGCCAGGUCAACAGAUUAUGGCUCAGCAACAUGUGAAGCAGCAGCAGCAGCCUUUCGUACCGCAAAGUCCAUUUCUGCAGCAAAAAAUGCCCACCCCAUCUCCAUUACGGCCCCAGGUCCCGCCUCAUUCAUAUACACAACAUACUCAUGCCUAUCCACAACUGCAGCAGAAUGCAGCAUUCUCACAUGGUUCUCAAAAUGUUGCCGGAAGGCCCAUGGUACCAAAUCAUGCAGUACAAUCACAGCCAUAUCCACAGUAUGCUGGUGGUGUUCAGGCUAGGCCUUUGCAUCCUGGUGCAAGCCAACCAUCUGCAAGUCUGAACAAUAUGCUCAGGGGUGAGAUCCAAGUACAAGUGUCUACUGAACAGCAGUCUGGGGCAACUUCAAGGUCAACAAUGUCCGUAAGACAAGGCGAUUAUGCAUUUGAGAAAGGCAUGGGCGACCGAGCAGUUGAAUUAUCUUCUGAGAAUGCUGCCAAAAAGGUAUCGAAUGAUUUAGAUCCAGCAUCAACAUCAGCUCUUGGAGUUGAUGCUAGUGAAGUUAAAAAUAUGAAAUCUGAAACUGAUAUCAAGUCCAAGGAUGAUUGUGAAUCUCAUGUCCUGGAAAAUGGAGGACUUGUUAAGCGGAUGGUGAAGGAGGAGGGUGUGGAAAGUAAUUUGGAGAACUUUAAUGUCAGUAAAUCAGGUGAACUUGUAUCUGAGAUCAAGAAAGAUGUUUCUGAAGUAAGCCCAAGACAUAUGGGCAAUUUUGCUUCGGAAGAUAGAGAGAGAAAGGACGAUCUUCUGUUGAAAAAUCCCCCAUUGCAUGAACCUGAACAAAUAGAAAAACUGAGUGGGAAAUUGGAGAAGGAUGCCAGUGUGAUUCAGCAUCCUUCAACGGGUGCUAAUGAAGCCUUACAAACUUUGACUACGACUUCAGCUCCUGUCUCAAGUAGUCCUGCUAAGAAUUUUAUCCCAAAAGGAGCCAUCUCUCAAGGUUCUGAAGUUGAUGGAUACAAAGGUCUUCCUCCACCCAGUCAGGUGCAUUCUGGGGGCUUUAUACAGCCUUCUCAUCCAGGCGCAAUUGCUGAUCAGGGAAGGCAUUUUGGGUCUUCUUCUCUCCAACCAAGGCCGCCCGGUGCUCCAUUGUUGCAAACGCCUCCUUUUGUGCUUCCACAUCACCAACAUCCAGGAGGGCACCCUUCCGCUCAGUUUAGGCCACAAGGAUAUGGGCACACACCUGAGCAUUUGCAGCCCCCUGCAUCAAAGCAGUCUCUUGAAACCCCACCUGGUGGCAUCUUAGGUCCUGGCUCCACAUCAUCCUUUGGGAGGGGACCGGGGUAUUAUGAUUUUCCCCAGCGAAACUUUGAAUCGCUACCUGUUGUUUCUCAAGGGCCUCAUGGUCAAGGGCAUGCACUCCCUACAAAUGCUGCGGCUUCCAGAGUGUCUCAAGGUGAAUCUGUUGGAGGGCCACCAUUUGGUAUGUUACCUCCUGGUGUGGUUGAUUCACGUGGUGGGAUGAUGGCUAGACCACAUGGCCCUGAAGGUCUGAUGGGUCAGCAGCGGCACACUAAUCCGAUGGAUGCUGAAUUGUUUCUAAAUCAUAGGCCAAGCUACAUGGAUAGUAGACGACCUGAUCCACAUCUUCCUGGGUCUCUGGGACGGGGUUCAAUUGGUCAGCCUUCUGGUGUGAUGGGAAGUAAUGGUGCACCUGGUCUUGAUUCCUCAUCGACACAUGGGUUUCGAGAUGACAGGUCGAAGUUUUUCCCAGAUGACCGUUUUAAUUCCUUUGUAGGCCGAGAAGGUGCAGACCGAGGAGAGUUUGAAGAUGGUCUCAAACAAUUCCCCAGACCUUCUCAUUUGGAUGCAGAGCUUGUACCAAAGUUUGGGAAUUAUUCAUCAAGGCCUCGUGAGAUGGGAUCCUAUGGGCUAAAUAGUGAUACUGGUUUCAAAUUGGGUCCUGGGGCUGGCAGUGCCCAUUCAGGAUUCUUGCCUUCAUAUGAUGGAGGAGAAAGACCCGUUGGUUUGCCAGAUUCUGGUCGUAAUCAUCCAGAUUUUCUUGGACCAGUUACUGGGUAUGCUCGACGACACAUGAAUGGUCUGACUCCUAGAAGUCCAAUUAGAGAAUACCAUGGUAUAUCAUCACGUGGUUUUGGAGGCAUUCCCGGCCAGUCGGGCCUAGAUGAUUUUGAUGGCAAGGAAUCACGUCGGUUUGGUGAUCCAAUUGGCAAUUCAUUCCAUGAAAGCAGGUUUCCUAUUCUGCCUGGUCAUUUGCAGAGGAGUGAGUUUGAGGGUCCUGGUAAGUUGCGAAUGGGUGAACAUUUGGGUCCACGUAACUUGCCUAGUCAUUUGCGAUUGGGAGAACCAAUUGGUUUUGGUGACUAUCCUGGUCAUGCACGGAUGGGAGAACUGCCUGGGCUGGGGGACUUUGAAUCAUUUGGUGCAGGCAACAGGCCAGGUCAUCCACGAUUUAGGAGCAGUUUUUCUCUUCAGGGAUUUCCAAAUGAUCGUGGAAUCAAUACAGGAGACACAGAGUCUUUUGGUAACCAGAGGAAGAGAAAGGCAGCUAGCACAGGAUGGUGCCGAAUCUGUAAAGUUGACUGCCAAACAGUUGGAGGCUUGGAACUGCACUCGCAAACAAGGGAGCACCAGAAGAUGGCUAUGGAUAUGGUACGGACCAUCAAACAGAAUGCAAAGAAACAGAAAUUAUCAUCAAGUGAUCCUUCCUCAGUUGAAGAUGCAAGCAAGUCUAAGAAUACCAGUUUUGAUGGCCAUGGGAAUAAGCAUUGACUGAUACGUUGCUGCCCUGUUUAUGGAGAUGGCUUUGGAACUGAAGUGCAGUGGCAAUUUACCAUUCAACCUGUCUUUUUUCGGCGAAGCAGACAACAAAUUGGCCGAAAGUUCAGUGGAAAGGUUUACUCCGUCUCCUUUUAUGGAUGUGGUAAGAAUGUGUUGGAUGGCAUAUUUUUUUAGUAGAAAAAGUUCGCUUCUUAGUAUUGAUUUUUCUGAAAUUGGUGACUUUUUGCAAGAUUGUUUUAUUUCCUUCUUGACACACCGAUCAUGCUGUGUAGAACCGUGAAUGGUUUGAUAUUUUUUGUGAGUUUUGUAAAUGAAAUUUAACAAGUAGGAUAGUUGGAGGAAAUUUGAGUGUGUUCCACUGGGAAUUGUAUUGAAUACUAGUUUAGGUUACUAAAUUAAUUAUGAAUUAUGAUUAGUGCAGUUUUGGUCAUUCAUUUUUCCUUAUCCUUGAGAUACGCAGAUAAUAUGGUUUGGGCUGAUGGAUUGUGGAGUAUUUUACAUUCUUGUUUAGAAGUAGGGUUUUGUAAGACAUAGGGGAAGUCCUAGACACCUGCAAUAUAUAGUAAAAAAGGCUACUGUCAAGUUGAAGCUUCUCUAGAAUGGUUAUAAAACCUAGCUUCACCUAGUAAGUUAAUGUGGGACUUUGUACCUGUGACUUACCUUUAUAUUUUAUCCACUCUACAUGGGUUAUUCAUAUUCCCAAUGUGGGACUAAGGUAUUACAGAUUUCUCCCUCUUAAAUUCUUGACAUCUUCAUCCAGACCAUGUCAUGCGUGCUAGUAGCAUCACAUGAUUGGCCUUACUAACUAGGAAAAAAAAAAUGUGAUUGGUCUUACUAGGUGACUCUGAUGCCAUAUGUAACAACCCAGGGAAAGUGCUUAUAAAGAUUAGUCAGUAUAAAGUCUCCCAAAAAUUGCUUAUAAAGCUCAAAUUUAUCUAAAAGUAGCCGAUAUGGGACAACACCCAUGACUACUUUAUAAUACCUACUCUGUUGGUUAUUCAUAUUCCCAAUGUGGGACCUUGUUACAGGUAUUGAGGUUAAAGGAUAAUUUGGACAGUUUAGUAGAAAUUGAAAUGUGUCACUUCUUCUGUAAUAAUCCUGGUGAUCAAGAAUAGGAUAUUCUUGAAGGAAUGAAGGUUUUGAUUUAACAUUUUGUUUUGAUCUCUGAAGUUCAUUCAGUGAUUGAGAAAGGAAUGUACGGAUUAGUUUGAGCAGGUUAUUUUGUUAGAUUAUUUGCUCAAUGGAUUUUGCUUUAUAUUAAAGGCUUGGGGCAUGUCCAUACCCUUUUUGGAGCCAACAUUCAUUCUAACUUUUUCGGUGUGUCUAUUUGAAUUGCCAAUCUGUGAGUCAAAGCUGAUUUAUUAGGGAAUUGGUGUUUGCCACAUAGGUUUGUUUGCUGCCGCUGGAGUCCUGCAAAAUUGUUACUACUAGUUAACAGGACUGCAUUCUGCUUCUAACAUAUGGUUGUUGUCGUUUGAGAAUUUUUCAUGCUUCAUAAAACUUUUCAUCGUAGUUUUUAUUACGUGAAACUUGGGUUUUAUUGAAGUUAUGGAGUGACCUUUUCGAAGUGGAUGGCAGUUGUGGAAUCCAAACCUGCUUGAUCAUGUUUUGACCAGGUUUGUGGCUUUCAAGUCAAUGUUUUUCUGGUGGUUAGAAUUUCAAUCUUAAAUAGUAGCUUUCUUUCUGGUUUUCGCUUUUAGUUUGCCUUUAAGAUUAUAUGAAAAGUUUAUGCACCAUAUUUCUAUUUAGUAAUACUGGUGGUCAAAAAUUUGAAAUUGAUUAGGAGCACGCCAUUGACAUCUAUUGAUUUUUAUUGUAUUGUUCUCUUUUUCUGAUUAGGUGUUUAUCUUGUAUACUUUCUGUUGCCAAUAUUAUCAAUAAGAUCUAUAUACUUGUAAAAAAAAAUUAUUUGAAAUUGAUUAGGAUUUAAAA